AGUGUCUGUGUGUGAGUGUCUCUGUGUGUGUCAAACUGUACUAACAAAAAACAGCCUGAAAAUCUGGAGACACUCCAGAGUCUCCGGAAAUACUACACAAGACGCUGAUUUACCAUCAUCACCGUGUACCCCUGUGUGGGCACCACAUUCCUGCCUUUUUCUAUCACUUUUUGAGAUCUGAAAAUCUGAAAAGAAGACGGACGUUGUACACCCAGAGAACAGAAGAUGUUUGGAAGGAUUUAUAUCUGAGCUGCCACGCCUUAGGAGAGCAGCGGAGACAAUUUACUUAUUGCUGUUCAAGGAUUAAAGGCUUAAGAACACAAUCAAUCCAUUUUAGACUUACAGGAACUCGGAGUCUGAACCAACUAGUGCAAGAGCUGUGUAAGGAAAAUACACCUUUUCACCUGGAAGUUGACUAAAACUCCAUUUACAACAAACAAGAAACAUUGAAGAUGCCUGCUCGUAGUUUUGACUACCCUAAAGGAAUGGAGGAUGAGGAAAAGAAAAUAUUCAAACAUAAAACUCUGAUGAAAAACCCAGAGAUUCUCUAUGAAGACACAUAUCAAACUGGUAUAAGAUGCAACCUCAUUUUCUUCACCCACUCUGGAGCAGACUACAGGGCUGCAAUAGAAGAUGCGUACCCUCAAUCCAAGGAUAUUCAAAUGGCCAACAAACUGAAACUUGAGCUCUCUGAUGGAGGCACUGUGUCCAUAUUUCCCAGUGGAAAGAUUUUAAUUCAAGGUAAAGAAGAAAACCUUGAUGCAUUUGAGAAAAUGUUUAAGAAAAUUAAACAAGAUGUAGACACAAGAAAAGAAGAACAGAUGAUGAAAACAUUACAGCAAAUGAAAGUUGAACAAUCGGAUUCUGAAACAGAAGAACGAGACAAAGAGAAACAGUCUAAAUAAAAUGUGAUACAAAUAAGAAAAAGCAGGAAACAGCAAAACAAUAUGGGCAUUUGAACUGUUAAUAAGUGAAUAUUAAAGUUUUUGUUCUGUGUGUUUAAAAAUUA
This is a long non-coding RNA of Oreochromis niloticus (Nile tilapia), 1009 nucleotides long. RefSeq lists it as uncharacterized. The transcript is spliced from 3 exons. The record is from RefSeq and is a predicted model, not a curated record. NCBI's taxonomy places the organism in Eukaryota, Metazoa, Chordata, Actinopteri, Cichliformes, Cichlidae.